CUGACCUCGGAUCAGGUAGCUCCCG
RNAcentral lists this ribosomal RNA (25 nucleotides) under fungal endophyte sp. A16. Its description in RNAcentral is "partial 28S ribosomal RNA". The record is from RNAcentral. Lineage: Eukaryota; Fungi.